AUUGAACGCUCGCGGGAUGCUUUACACAUGCAAGUCGAACGGCAGCGCGGACUUCGGUCUGGCGGCGAGUGGCGAACGGGUGAGUAAUGUAUCGGAACGUGCCCAGUAGCGGGGGAUAACUACGCGAAAGCGUAGCUAAUACCGCAUACGCCCUACGGGGGAAAGCAGGGGAUCGUAAGACCUUGCACUAUUGGAGCGGCCGAUAUCGGAUUAGCUAGUUGGUGAGGUAACGGCUCACCAAGGCGACGAUCCGUAGCUGGUUUGAGAGGACGACCAGCCACACUGGGACUGAGACACGGCCCAGACUCCUACGGGAGGCAGCAGUGGGGAAUUUUGGACAAUGGGGGCAACCCUGAUCCAGCCAUCCCGCGUGUGCGAUGAAGGCCUUCGGGUUGUAAAGCACUUUUGGCAGGAAAGAAACGUCGCGGGCUAAUACCCCGUGGAACUGACGGUACCUGCAGAAUAAGCACCGGCUAACCACGUG
RNAcentral lists this ribosomal RNA (484 nucleotides) under uncultured bacterium. RNAcentral's name for it is "partial 16S ribosomal RNA". It matches the Rfam family "Bacterial small subunit ribosomal RNA", at positions 30 to 507 of the family's 1533-position model. The record is from RNAcentral.